RNAcentral lists this ribosomal RNA (788 nucleotides) under uncultured euryarchaeote. RNAcentral's name for it is "bacterial SSU rRNA". It matches the Rfam family "Archaeal small subunit ribosomal RNA", at positions 84 to 876 of the family's 1478-position model. Lineage: Archaea; Methanobacteriati; Methanobacteriota. The record is from RNAcentral.
UACGGCUCAGUAACACGUCAAUAAUCUGCCCUUACGUCUGGGAUAACCUCGAGAAAUUGGGGAUAAGCCCGGAUAGGAAAAAGAUACUGGAAUGUUCUUUUUCCCAAAGGUAACGCGUAAGGAUGAAUUGGCGCCCGAUUAGGCUGUUGGCGGGGUAGUGGCCCACCAAACCUAUGAUCGGUACGGGUCCUGAGAGGGAUAGCCCGGAGAAGGACACUGAGAAACGGGUCCUAGCCCUACGGGGUGCAGCAGUCGCGAAACCUUUACAAUGCACGAAAGUGUGAUAGGGGAAUUCAGAGUGCUUACACACAGUGUAGGCUUUUGCCAAGAGUAAAUAUCUUGGAGAAUAAGUGGUGGGUAAGACUGGUGCCAGCCGCCGCGGUAACACCAGCGCCACAAGUGGGAAUCGAUUUUAUUGGGCUUAAAGCGUUCGUAGCUGGUCUUGUAAAUCUUUUGUGAAAUCGUUGCCCUCAAUGCAACGACGUGCGGAGGACACUGCAAGACUUGGAACCGGGAGGGGUCAGAAGUAUGCCAGGGGGAGCGGUAAAAUGUUAUAAUCCCUGGUAGACUACCUUUGGCGAAGGCGUCUGACUAGAACGGGUUCGACAGUGAGGAACGAAAGCUGGGGGAGCGAUCCGGAUUAGAUACCCGAGUAGUCCCAGCCGUAAACGCUGUGAACUAGAUGUCGCGUAUUCUUCGUGAAUAUGCGGUGUCGAAGCGAAAGUGUUAAGUUCACCGCCUGGGAAGUAUAGUCGCAAGACCGAAACUUAAAGGAAUUGGCGGGGGAG